Long non-coding RNA from Cyprinus carpio (common carp), 381 nucleotides. RefSeq lists it as uncharacterized. The transcript is spliced from 3 exons. NCBI's taxonomy places the organism in Eukaryota, Metazoa, Chordata, Actinopteri, Cypriniformes, Cyprinidae. The record is from RefSeq and is a predicted model, not a curated record.
GGAAAAUUUGCAGGUUAGUAACAGCACCAACUGCUGGUUACAACAACACGAACAACUGCGAGCCGUGUUUCAAGUUUAGUAGCCUUAUUUAUACGUUUUCUUGUGCGCAGCAGAGAGAGAGUCACACAGACGGCAGAAUCAAAACAAUGAAUGCCAUAAAUGCUGUGCAGUUGUUCAUUAUGGUUUGGACCUUCACCGCUGUCUGUCAAGCUGAUGUUGAUUUCUGCAGUGUAACUUGUCAAAAUGUGACUGGAUCUGUGGGGAAAGAAGCAACUUUCACCUGCAACAUCUCUAAGCAGUGUGCUAAAUGCUGCGUUGUAAUGUAUAAGUUUCAAUACCCUGAGAGCUAUAAAGACUCAACAAUCCAUAAAGAAGUGUUUC